UCAUUUGUUUUUCUCUUUGAAGAUAGGUCCGUGGUCCUCCGUCAUUCUGAAAUCCCAAAACCUUUAAAAACAGAGUUUUAACAGAAGUUUUCAGCAAACUUAUUAGAUGACAAAAACAUAACCUUAACUAAGGAGUAACCAUUUGUGUUGUUGGCUUUCUUUCUGCAAGAUCUAAGAGGCCCGGUGGAAUCAAUAUUCCCAAAACGCUUCCCAGGGUUAUGAGACCCGCUGAAAGUGUAAGCACUGGGAAAUGCUGACCCAGUUAUUCAAAAUUAUGGUGAGCAAGAGUCAAGAGUCUUCCCAACCAGAGGUCUCGCUGUUGCAAAGGGGCCCUCUCACCCAGGUUUCAGGAAUUACAGUUGUCCCUGAAAAGGUAACUGCUAAAGCAUUACGUUGAUAUCAAAACACAUGGGUUGUAAAGCCACCGAAACGAUAGUAGAUGGUGAAGAAAGAAACUGACGAUUAAAACAUGAUGAAAACCA
Long non-coding RNA from Herpailurus yagouaroundi (jaguarundi), 482 nucleotides. RefSeq lists it as uncharacterized. The transcript has 2 exons. The record is from RefSeq and is a predicted model, not a curated record. Lineage: Eukaryota; Metazoa; Chordata; Mammalia; Carnivora; Felidae.